RNAcentral lists this ribosomal RNA (449 nucleotides) under uncultured bacterium. Its description in RNAcentral is "partial 16S ribosomal RNA". It matches the Rfam family "Bacterial small subunit ribosomal RNA", at positions 29 to 523 of the family's 1533-position model. The record is from RNAcentral.
AACGAACGCUGGCGGCAUGCCUAACACAUGCAAGUCGAACGAGAUCUUCGGGUCUAGUGGCGCACGGGUGCGUAACGCGUGGGAAUCUGCCCUUUGGUUCGGAAUAACAGUUGGAAACGACUGCUAAUACCGGAUGAUGACGAAAGUCCAAAGAUUCAUCGACAGAGGAUGAGCCCGCGUAGGAUUAGCUAGUUGGGGGGGUAAAGGCGCACCAAGGCGACGAUCCUUAGCUGGUCUGAGAGGAUGAUCAGCCACACUGGGACUGAGACACGGCCCAGACUCCUACGGGAGGCAGCAGUGGGGAAUAUUGGACAAUGGGCGAAAGCCUGAUCCAGCAAUGCCGCGUGAGUGAUGAAGGCCUUAGGGUUGUAAAGCUCUUUUACCCGGGAUGAUAAUGACAGUACCGGGAGAAUAAGCUCCGGCUAACUCCGUGCCAGCCGCCGCAGUAA